Molecule: long non-coding RNA, 1300 nt
Filed under: Nicotiana benthamiana
Lineage: Eukaryota; Viridiplantae; Streptophyta; Magnoliopsida; Solanales; Solanaceae
Description: long non-coding RNA (NBEN_LNC007234)
Source: RNAcentral
ACAAAGCAGACUCAAAUUAAACAAAAAAAGAAAAUACACAAGGAAAAACUAAAAAAAAACUAAGGUAUAUACGUCUGGUCUUCACUGGGGCUCAACUCAUCACUGGAAACCUUGGAGCCUUCUGGAACCUCAGGCUCAUAGAGUUUCUUCGCUUUGGAGUCAAGUAAGUCAAGUAUCUUGGCUUCCUCAAUCUCAGCUGAGAGGUCAAAACCUCGGGCAUGGAUCUCCUCGAAAGUCUCUCUCCAAGAAAGCCGCUUUAAAUACUCUAUCUUUUUCUUUAAGCGGGCCUAUGGUACUCCACAUCAGCUAUAUACUGGGCAAACAUUUCCUCAAAGUUGGAGGAAUCAACAAAAGUUGCAUCCAACUUGGAAUUUAACUUGAAGCUUUCAUGAUGAAGCACAAUAGCGUGAAAAUAACGAAGUCAUUAUAGGAUGUCUAAAUCCAAGCAAGAUUCACAAAGGGUACGAAGAGAAAACGUAUUACCCGAUUUGGCCCCCAUUUCACCUCGUUGAAAAGGCUGAAUGUGCCCACUUCGUUCAUUUUUGACUGGUCCUCCUUGGCCACCAAGAAACGAAGGUAGCUGGAUAUGCCCACUAGAGCAGAUAGGGCCCGGUCAUUCGCUGGAAUAAUAAGAACGAUCGUCCUUUUAUGGUCAGGGUCCACACUCAGAGCAGGGAACUUCUUCACAAAUUUUGAGCUCGAACUCGGCUCGCCCGCUCCAGAUGGCACAUCCUUUUUGGGACCUGUAGGUGACCACGAUCUAAAGGCUACAUCUUUCGGGAUAGGAGUUGCUUCUCGAGAGGCCACGACCUCUGUCUCUCCCACUGGUUCCCGAUCUAGAGGGGGAUCAACCUCAUGUCCAUCUUUCUCGAUUGCCGCCUGCUCCCUCUUUUUAAGGGUCGAUCCGUGACUAAUAAACUCAUGGUCGUCGUCCUCAUGAUAGUCCCUGAACUGUUAGAGGGAAUCAGAGUUUUUACCCUAGACUUGGUGCUCUUUUUGAUUUUUCGGACAUGAGCAGUCACCUUUUUCUUCUUCGCCUCGGCAUCUGGGCAGCCCGAGGACUUUUUCUUCGUCUUCUUUUUAUCCUAUGCGGCAGCCCCAGGCUAUCUCGAUGCGGAGGGUUCGGCAAGCGAGGACGGAUCCUCAUCCUCAUCCAAAGGCCUGAGCUCGAUGGUCGUAGGAAAACCUAUAAGAAGAAAGAAGACUUAGCGAUGUGUAAGCGAAGAGUAUGAAGGUAAUCAUUCAGGACGAAGCCUCGCCAUGAGAAUGAGCCUCCCACUUGCCCUUCGAGAGCUUGCGC